RNAcentral lists this ribosomal RNA (484 nucleotides) under uncultured bacterium. Its description in RNAcentral is "partial 16S ribosomal RNA". It matches the Rfam family "Bacterial small subunit ribosomal RNA", at positions 28 to 523 of the family's 1533-position model. The record is from RNAcentral.
GACGAACGCUGGCGGCGUGCUUAACACAUGCAAGUCGAACGAUGAAGCCGGAGCUUGCUCUGGUGAAUUAGUGGCGAACGGGUGAGUAACACGUGAGUAACCUGCCCUUGACUCUGGGAUAACUGCGGGAAACUGCAGCUAAUACCGGAUACGACCCUCGGAGGCAUCUCCUGGGGGUGGAAAGAAUUUCGGUCAAGGAUGGACUCGCGGCCUAUCAGCUAGUUGGUGAGGUAAAGGCUCACCAAGGCGACGACGGGUAGCCGGCCUGAGAGGGUGACCGGCCACACUGGGACUGAGACACGGCCCAGACUCCUACGGGAGGCAGCAGUGGGGAAUAUUGCACAAUGGGCGCAAGCCUGAUGCAGCAACGCCGCGUGAGGGAUGACGGCCUUCGGGUUGUAAACCUCUCUUAGCAGGGAAGAAGCGAAAGUGACGGUACCUGCAGAAAAAGCACCGGCUAACUACGUGCCAGCCGCCGCAGUAA